GGGGGCGAAAUAGGGUUCGACAGAGAGAAAGAGGGAUAGUGUGGCCUGCCAAGUUUGUCAGGGUCUUGUAAAAACCUGACAAAAAAUAACUGCCGAAACAGCAAAUGUUUUGGCUGCAUAAAAAUGCAGCCACCCAUUUACAGAGUCUGCCUCUGACUCUGUAAAAUGGGUCGGUUAAAGAGGCCUUCUUUUGCAGGUUAUCCUUUUCCCUGCAAAAGAAGUAUAAAAAGGAUGCGGAUAAAAUGGCUUGAGAGAUGUGCCAUUUUAUCCAAAGAAAAAAACAUCUCUCUACGCAGGUAGAUACACUAUCCUGAUUCUCUCUGGACGCGGGGGCAGUACCCGCCGCCUCCACUA
RNAcentral lists this transfer-messenger RNA (354 nucleotides) under Bacillota bacterium. RNAcentral's name for it is "Firmicutes bacterium (hot springs metagenome) transfer-messenger RNA". It matches the Rfam family "transfer-messenger RNA". From Rfam's summary of the family: Bacterial tmRNA, also known as 10Sa RNA or SsrA, is named for its dual tRNA and mRNA-like properties. Its role is to liberate the mRNA from a stalled ribosome. Lineage: Bacteria; Bacillati; Bacillota. The record is from RNAcentral.